RNAcentral lists this ribosomal RNA (448 nucleotides) under uncultured bacterium. RNAcentral describes it as "bacterial SSU rRNA". It matches the Rfam family "Bacterial small subunit ribosomal RNA", at positions 356 to 795 of the family's 1533-position model. The record is from RNAcentral.
GGGGAAUUUUCCGCAAUGGGCGCAAGCCUGACGACGCAACGCCGCGUGGAGGAUGAAGACCUUCGGGUCGUAAACUCCUUUCGAUCGAGACGAAUGGUUUUCGGGUGAAUAAUCCGGAGAAGUGACGGUACCGAGAGAAGAAGCCCCGGCUAACUCCGUGCCAGCAGCCGCGGUAAUACGGGGGGGGCAAGCGUUAUUCGGAAUUACUGGGCGUAAAGGGCUCGUAGGUUGCCAACUAAGUCAGACGUGAAAUCCCUCAGCUUAACUGGGGAACUGCGUCUGAUACUGGAUGGCUUGAGUUUGGGAGAGGGAUGCGGAAUUCCAGGUGUAGCGGUGAAAUGCGUAGAUAUCUGGAGGAACACCGGUGGCGAAGGCGGCAUCCUGGACCAACACUGACACUGAGGAGCGAAAGCCAGGGGAGCAAAAGGGAUUAGAUACCCCUGUAGUC